UGGGGAAUUUUGCACAAUGGGGGAAACCCUGAUGCAGCGACGCCGCGUGAUUUAGAAGGCCUUCGGGUUGUAAAAAUCUUUUCUAUGGGAAGAAAAUGACAGUACCAUAGGAAUAAGGACCGGCUAAUUACGUGCCAGCAGCCGCGGUAAUACGUAAGGUCCGAGCGUUGUCCGGAAUUAUUGGGCGUAAAGGGUACGUAGGUGGUUUUUUAAGUCAGGUGUCAAAGCGUGGAGCUUAACUCCAUUAAGCACUUGAAACUGAAAGACUUGAGUGAAGGAGAGGAAAGUGGAAUUCCUAGUGUAGCGGUGAAAUGCGUAGAUAUUAGGAGGAAUACCGGUGGCGAAGGCGACUUUCUGGACUUUUACUGACGCUCAGGUACGAAAGCGUGGGGAGCAAACAGG
This 402-nucleotide ribosomal RNA is filed under the name Verrucomicrobiota bacterium. Its description in RNAcentral is "Verrucomicrobia bacterium partial 16S ribosomal RNA". It matches the Rfam family "Bacterial small subunit ribosomal RNA", at positions 355 to 776 of the family's 1533-position model. The record is from RNAcentral. Lineage: Bacteria; Pseudomonadati; Verrucomicrobiota.